This 426-nucleotide ribosomal RNA is filed under the name uncultured bacterium. RNAcentral's name for it is "bacterial SSU rRNA". It matches the Rfam family "Bacterial small subunit ribosomal RNA", at positions 356 to 773 of the family's 1533-position model. The record is from RNAcentral.
AGGGAAUUUUCCGCAAUGGGCGAAAGCCUGACGGAGCAACGCCGCGUGAGUGAGGACGGCCUUCGGGUUGUAAAACUCUGUUCUUGAGGAAGAAUUCCUUCCGGGCGAACAGCCUGGGAGGUUGACGGUACUCAAGGAGAAAGCCCCGGCUAACUACGUGCCAGCAGCCGCGGUAAUACGUAGGGGGCGAGCGUUAUCCGGAAUUAUUGGGCGUAAAGCGCGCGCAGGCGGCCGAUUAAGUCAGGUGUGAAAGGCUGCGGCUCAACCGCAGAGCGGCACCUGAAACUGGUCGGCUUGAGUGCAGGAGAGGGGAGCGGAAUUCCCGGUGUAGCGGUGGAAUGCGUAGAGAUCGGGAGGAACACCAGUGGCGAAGGCGGCUCUCUGGCCUGUAACUGACGCUGAGGCGCGAAAGCGUGGGGAGCAAAC